GUUGUUAAUGGUGAUGGAUUAUCAGUGAUGUACUUCAUGGUGGCUCUUGUUUCUUCACAGAAGCCAGCUGGCUCACAGUGUGGUGAAGUUGAAAGAUGCUGUAAGGGAAAAAGGAAGUUAAUUAAUAGACACACAGAUCAGAUGUAACUAUAAAGAUUCAAACUCAGGAAUAGCACCAAGGAUUAGUUGAAAACCAACAUUGUUUUAUGCACAUGGAAAUGAAAACAGUGCCUAACUACUGUACCUACUCCAUAGACAAUGGGUCUGUGCUGUCCCUCUACUUCAAUAUCAUUCAAGUCUGUAGAGAAAAACAAACAUCUUAUCUUAGUAACUUUAAAAUAUAUACUUAUAACAGCAAUGAAAAGUAAAGUCAUAAGUUUGAAAACUGAAUAAAAGGGAAGAUGAGAAUUAUUAUUUAAAGUAAACCUCACCAGUAAUACAUGCAGUACACAAGUUUAUUCUGGUUGGCUGCUGCUGUAUGAUGUCUGAAGAAAAAGCAAAAUAAAUGUUUUAUUUCAGAA
This is a long non-coding RNA of Actinia tenebrosa (Australian red waratah sea anemone), 521 nucleotides long. RefSeq lists it as uncharacterized. NCBI's taxonomy places the organism in Eukaryota, Metazoa, Cnidaria, Anthozoa, Actiniaria, Actiniidae. The record is from RefSeq and is a predicted model, not a curated record.